CCUACGGAGUGCAGCAGUGGGGAAUAUUGGACAAUGGGCGAAAGCCUGAUCCAGCCAUGCCGCGUGUGUGAAGAAGGCCUUCGGGUUGUAAAGCACUUUCAGUGGGGAAGAAAGCCUUGGGGCUAAUACCCUCGAGGAAGGACAUCACCCACAGAAGAAGCACUGGCUAACUCCGUGCCAGCAGCCGCGGUAAUACGGAGGGUGCGAGCGUUAAUCGGAAUUACUGGGCGUAAAGCGCGCGUAGGCGGUCUGAUAAGCCGGUUGUGAAAGCCCCGGGCUCAACCUGGGAACGGCAUCCGGAACUGUCAGGCUAGAGUGCAGGAGAGGAAGGUAGAAUUCCCGGUGUAGCGGUGAAAUGCGUAGAGAUCGGGAGGAAUACCAGUGGCGAAGGCGGCCUUCUGGACUGACACUGACGCUGAGGUGCGAAAGCGUGGGUAGCAAACAGGAUUAGAUACCCCAGUAGUC
This 465-nucleotide ribosomal RNA is filed under the name Vreelandella stevensii. RNAcentral describes it as "partial 16S ribosomal RNA". It matches the Rfam family "Bacterial small subunit ribosomal RNA", at positions 338 to 795 of the family's 1533-position model. The record is from RNAcentral. Lineage: Bacteria; Pseudomonadati; Pseudomonadota; Gammaproteobacteria; Oceanospirillales; Halomonadaceae.